This is a long non-coding RNA of Durio zibethinus, 1353 nucleotides long. RefSeq lists it as uncharacterized. NCBI's taxonomy places the organism in Eukaryota, Viridiplantae, Streptophyta, Magnoliopsida, Malvales, Malvaceae. The record is from RefSeq and is a predicted model, not a curated record.
UGAUAGAUUAUAGAGAUAGGAGCCUCAGAUUUGCGACGCAUGGAUACACGCCAAGUGACCAUCCCUCAUUUAACGGUCACUUUUUCCCUCGUUUAGCUUUCCCUCCCUCUUUCCUUUUCUCAUUGAUUUUUCUGUGGGUUUCUUUUCUUGCGAAGAUCUCUUCGCUAAUUUCAUUAAUUCUUGACUAAAAACCUUUCUUGAAAUUCCAAUUUCCUUUUGAAAUUUGGGUUUACGACAAUUUUGCUUGUAAAUGCCAUGUUUUUCCCUUUUCGAAUCCCAACUUUCUUUAUUGUUACAAAAUAAAACAUGUUUCUUCUUUUUUACUAAACAUCAAUUGGGGUUUUUCGUUAGAUUUUUUUUUUUUUAUAAUUUUACAAAGAUUCUCGAAUUUUUCUGUAAACUUUCUUUAGAUUUUAUAAUUUUGACAAAGAUUUUGUGAAAUUGGUUUUAUUUUCCGGUCUGGAUUUUCUUUAUUUACUGUUUUUUUUUUUUUUGUGUUGUGUAAAUUUACCUGGUGCUGUGGAUGAUCUUGAUUGUCGGUUAGUCAGUUCAGAGUUGAAUCCAAACAAUUGUGGUCUAACACAGAUUGAGCCAAAUGCCAAUCACAAACACUUGGUGGAAAGAUAGGGGUUGUUGGUUAUGCUCCCUUGUUUUAAUUCAACUCUGUUCUUGCAGAUCCAAGUCUUGCUGAGGUAACUGCACCAUUGUUGGACUUUGGGGAGUGGGUAUGGAUCCGUGUUUCUCUAGCUAUUGGUUCGUUAAUAAUGUACUAUCUCAAUUUUUGGUACAUGGCAUUAUGUCACGUUCUUCUGUUUAAAUCAAACUUUCUUUGUUUUGUCAUGUUCUCCAAUGUUGCUUGAAACAAAAAAUGGAUGCUGAUUCUGGGUUUUAGAUUUCUCGUUGUAUUGUUGUGGAGAUCACGCUAGUUAUUGUCAAAAUAUUCAUCAAAAAAUUUUAUGAUAUUAUCUCAUAAAAAAUAUUUUAUAAAUUUAAAUUUAUAUAUAUAUAUAUAUAUCAUGACAUAUCUUAAAAAUUUUUUAAUUUGAGAUUUGGGUAUCUCAUUUGUAGAUCAAGCACGACUUCAUCCCGCUGACUGCUGAGAUCUACUUUGUUCAUGUGCAACUUUUUAUUCAAUUACAUCUGAAUUUUAGUCACUAAUCUAAGUGUUUUACUUUUGUUUCGAUGGGCGUGACUCAUGAUUACAUGAAUCUGUAAUAUUAAAUCUGUGGAUCCGUUUCACAUUGAUUGAUUUUACUUAUUAAUUUAAUGGCUGCAAGUGAUCAAAUGUUAAGAAAAAUAAAAUAUAAUAAGUAUUUUUCAUUUUGUUUUGGUUCGGAGAUUAGAAUUGAUGUU